AAGCAAUACGGAGGUAUUGGCGAUUUGACCAGAAGAGAAUCAAAUCUGCAAAAUCUAUUUUAAGGUAUUAAUCUCCCUUUUAGCUUAAAUUAACCAUUUAUGAGAUAUAAAUUCAUUUUAAUAUCACAUUUUCCUAACCCCACCUGCGAUUACUAUCCAUUGACACAUAUAUUCUAAUAUACAUAUAUUAAAUUAGGGCUCUUAAUCAAUUUGGGGGUUAUAUAUGAAGUGUAUUGAAUUAAUGGUUGUUGAUUAUUGGAAUUGUGGUUGGCAUCGGAGCAGUAAGUGUGCGGGGUGGCUGGCCGGAGCUCACGUCGGCGACACCGACGGAGGGUAACGGCGAUGUUAAAACGGAGGGGAAGGUCGAGAAGAAGAGAGACAGCAGGGGAAAAGAGAGAUUGAGGUGGGGGUUUUGUGUGUGUUGUGUGGGUGAGAUGGGUGAGCCGUGUGUGUGUGGCGACGGAGAGAGGUCACCGAUGGUGGCGUUGAGUGGUAGGAACCGAGGGAGACGCGGAAGAGGGGGGAGAGAGAGAGAGAGAGAGAGAAAAGAGUAGGAUGAGGGAUGAGGGAGAAAGGUGAGUUUGGGGAAGAUGGGGAUAUUUUGGUAAAUUGAAAAGUGAGAGUGCUAAUAAGAACAAAUAAAAUUGAUAAAAUGUGGGAAUUAAAUAUAAAAGGAUGGAUUUGAGUGAAUUAAAAAGAAAAUAAUGGGAGAGAAAUGAUUGACUUAUGAUAAUUGGGUUAAUAAAAGGAAAUAAAUUAUAUAAUAAUUUGAAUUUAUAAAAGAAUUUGGUUUUAUAUUAAAAGGAGAGAUAAAUAGGAUAGAUGGGAAGUUAUUUUAGAUUUAUUAUAUUGAGCGAUUAAAACGGAGCUAAAAAGAAUGUUUAGAGGUAUAAUUAAAGAGAGAAUAAGAUUUGAGAUUUAAUAAAUAUCCUAAUUGGUGUUUAAGAAUUUAAUAAGGAAUGAGUUGAAUUGUUUAGAAAGUGAAGAAAUCUAAUAUUAGGGGAAGAAUCAUUCAAAUGUCAGUGGAGACCGUGGUAAUAAAUAAUAGAAUUUUGCAUAUUAAAGGUUUAAUUGGGGUUAUUAGUUAAGAAUAAAAGAAAGAGAAUAAAAAGAAAGAGAAUAAAAAGAAAGGGAAUUGGGUAUUAUAUAAUUUUAAUGUAACUACAUUAGUCCAAAUGUUAUACCUGUGUAAAAGUGGGCAAAGUGAUAGUAUAACAUUUUAGUGAAGUCUGUGCAAUAAAAAGAAUUAGAUAAUCAAUUAAAAACUCAAGAUAUUAUUUAAAUAGAGAGCUAUAUAGAUUUAAGUUAAUAAUGAGUCAAGAUCAUUAUUUUUACGAGUAUACUGAAAUUAUCAUUUUGCGUGAUAUAGAAUAUUUAUUGCCUGGAAAGGCGAAGCCUGAUUAUACGUGAUAAAUUGGAAUAUUAUCAAGCUAAGGAUGUCAGGCAAGUUCACUAUCCUUGUCUCGACGUGAAAUUUUUCGUGUCUAUUUCAUAAUUUUGUGAUAAGUGUUGAUUGUGGAAAUAUUUCAUUUCGUACCAUUGUGAAUUGAGAAAAUGUCUCCGUUUCAUUUUGAAGCCUUUAAAGAUAUUGUUCACAUAUGAUCACUUUCUAUAAUUCGAGCCCUCCCAUUGUUCGAGAAUGAGCUAAUCCUAUAAUGAUAAUAUUCUGAAUCUUUGAAACUCGAAGUGAAUACAUGGCAGCGAUGAUCUCACCACAAUUAACUUACUCCCUUUUUGGAGAUCAUCUUAUUCUUUGGAAUUUAAUUCUUUUAAUUAUUCUUCACUUCUACCUUCGGGUAAUCUUUGUUGAAAGGGUGCAUUGUUCGCACUUCUUUGGUAAAGAUGAGUAGUGUUUGUUUGUGAGAAUUUCCUUGUAUUCGGAGGAAUCUGUUCAAGCUGGUCAACACGAAUUUCUUAAAUUCGUGGUAGAGUUGAAUUUACUAUCUGGUAAGGCAGAUAGUUUAGGGUUACAAAUGUUAACCCUUGUGCUAGCAAAUGAGAGUGGUAGGUGUGUCUUGUGCGGUUACGAUCAGACUGCAAAGGUCACACAGGAGAACGGUAUUCACGAAAUGGUGCUGAUCGAGCCAUGUAGUGUUACCGAAAGGUGGAAGACCAGCGUUUUCUUUACUUGAACUUGUGUUGUCAUUUGACGGU
RNAcentral lists this long non-coding RNA (2154 nucleotides) under Daucus carota (carrot). Its description in RNAcentral is "long non-coding RNA (DCAR_LNC002212)". Lineage: Eukaryota; Viridiplantae; Streptophyta; Magnoliopsida; Apiales; Apiaceae. The record is from RNAcentral.